RNAcentral lists this ribosomal RNA (1239 nucleotides) under metagenome. Its description in RNAcentral is "bacterial LSU rRNA". It matches the Rfam family "Bacterial large subunit ribosomal RNA", at positions 1674 to 2912 of the family's 2925-position model. The record is from RNAcentral.
GANAAUACCAAGGCGCUUGAGAACUCGGGUGAAGGAACUAGGCAAAUGGCACCGUAACUUCGGGAGAAGGUGCGCCGGCUAGGGUGAAGGAUUUACUCCGUAAGCUCUGGCUGGUCGAAGAUACCAGGCCGCUGCGACUGUUUAUCAAAACACAGCACUCUGCAAACACGAAAGCGGACGUAUAGGGUGUGACGCCUGCCCGGUGCCGGAAGGUUAAUUGAUGGGGUUAGCGCAAGCGAAGCUCUUGAUCGAAGCCCCGGUAAACGGCGGCCGUAACAAUAACGGUCCUGGGCGAAAUUCCUUGUCGGGUAAGUUCCGACCUGCACGAAUGGCGUAACGAUGGCGGCGCUGUCUCCACCGCGAGACUCAGUGAAAUUGAAAUCGCUGUGAAGAUGCAGUGUAUCCGCGGCUAGACGGAAAGACCCCGUGAACCUUUACUGUAGCUUUGCACUGGACUUUGAGCCUGCUUUGUAGGAUAGGUGGGAGGCUUUGGAGCGUGGACGCCAGUUCGCGUGGAGCCAUCCUUGAAAUACCACCCUGGCAUGCUUGAGGUUUCUAACUCUGGUCCGUAAUCCGGAUCGAGGACAGUGUAUGGCGGGCAGUUUGACUGGGGCGGUCUCCUAAAGAGUAACGGAGGAGUACGAAGGUGCGCCUCAGACCGGUCGGAAUCGGUCGCAGAGCAUAAAGGCAAAAGCGCGCUUGACUGCGAGACAGACACGUCGAGCAGGUACGAAAGUAGGUCUUAGUGAUCCGGUGGUUCUGUAUGGAAGGGCCAUCACUCAACGGAUAAAAAGNCGGGAUAACAGGCUGAUACCGCCCAAGAGUUCAUAUCGACGGCGGUGUUUGGCACCUCGAUGUCGGCUCAUCACAUCCUGGGGCUGAAGCCGGUCCCAAGGGUAUGGCUGUUCGCCAUUUAAAGUGGUACGCGAGCUGGGUUUAGAACGUCGUGAGACAGUUCGGUCCCUAUCUGCCGUGGACGUUUGAGAUUUGAGAGGGCUGCCCUAGUACGAGAGGACCGGAGUGGACGAACCUCUGGUGUUCCGGUUGUCACGCCAGUGGCAUUGCCGGGUAAGCUAUGUUCGAAAAGAUAACCGUGAAAGCAUCUAAGCGGGAAACUUGCCUCAAGAUGAGAUCUCACUGGGAACUUGAUUCCCUGAAGGGCCGUCGAAGACUACGACGUUGAUAGGCUGGGUGUGUAAGCGUUGUGAGGCGUUGAGCUAACCCGUACUAAUUGCCCGU